This 509-nucleotide long non-coding RNA is filed under the name Ricinus communis (castor bean). RNAcentral describes it as "long non-coding RNA (RCOM_LNC001626)". Lineage: Eukaryota; Viridiplantae; Streptophyta; Magnoliopsida; Malpighiales; Euphorbiaceae. The record is from RNAcentral.
UCCAAUCUCCAUGGACCACUUUAGCACUAAAUGAGGCAUCAAUUCAAGCUGUUUCUUUCUCUCCAAUUUUUCCUAAACCAAAAAUAAUAAAACAAUAAUAAUAGUAAAAUAUUGAAAAAAAAUCCCAAUGGACCAUUUGUUCGUCAGCCUCCAGACAGAGUAAGAUGAUAGGGCCCACAUCACCUUAUCAAAAAGGGACCACACUCUCUGUUCACGACACCCAGAAAAUAAGAUUUAGAAAAAAUUAGACCAACGAAAGAGAGUCAAUUGCUGACGUGGGUCCCCCUGGUCCCCACUGCGGGUACACGUGUCGGGAUAUGAUUCGAUAAAUCCGUCGGGUUCGUCCUCCGAUGCUGUCCCGACAAGUGGUCCAUGAAAGGUGGGAUCGACACGUGUACCUCGUAAAACAAAUGAUGUAUGUUGCUGCCUGAACUGCAUGCAAGUGGCUAAGAGAAAGGGGCAGGAAGUGAGUGAGCGGCGGGGGAGCGUCCGCCGUGACUUACAGGAAG